AUGGCGCCGUUGGCCGCCUCCCCGCUCCUCCCCUCCCCCUCGCCGCCGUGCCACCUCCUCCUACGCCGCUGCCCCGACAGUCUCUGGCUGCCAGCGCCUCGGUCACCGCGAUUGCCGCUCCGUCGCCUCUCGCGUGACGGCGGCGGCAGCGAGUGCCUGUCUCGGCUCCGGCAUGUCCGGCCGCUCCGAGCCGUGCCCGUCAUCGCGCCCGGCGACCAGUGGGGCAACUGGGCGUUCCUCCUCUCCGCCGCGGCCUUCGGCACCUGGGCGGAGGAGCGGACGGCGUGGGGCGCGGCGCUGAGCGGGGCGCUGGUGAGCAUCCUGGCAGGCCUGGCGGCGUCGUCGGCGGGGCUGGUGGCGCCCGGCGCGCCCGCGCAGGCCGUCGUCAUGGAGUACCUGCUCCCCGUCGCUGUCCCGCUCCUGCUCCUCGGCGCCGACCUCCGCCGCGUCGUCCGCACCACCGGCGACCUCCUCAAGGCCUUCCUCAUCGGAUCAGUUGCAACUGUAAUCGGCACGACGGUGGCUUAUCUGCUGUUCCCGAUGAGGUCGCUGGGCCAGGAUGGCUGGAAGAUCGCCGCCGCUCUCAUGGGGAGCUACAUUGGCGGAGCGGUGAAUUUCGUGGCGAUCUCGGAGGCGCUGGGCACGACGCCGUCGGUGGUGGCGGCGGGCGUGGCGGCGGACAACCUCAUCUCCGCGCUCUACUUCACGGCCCUCUUCGCGCUGGCGUCCAAGAUACCGCCGGAGGCCAAGAGCGCCUCGUCCCCGGAGGACGGCGGCGGGGGCGAGCCCCGGGGCGGCAUGUCCGUGCUGCACGGCGGCGCGGCGCUGGCGCUGUCGUUCGCGAUCUGCAGGGCCGGCACGGCGAUCGCGGCGGGGCUGGGCGUGGCCGCCGGCGGCACGCUGCCGUGCGUGACGGCGCUGGUGGUGCUCCUGGCGACGGCGUUCCCGGGCGCGCUGGGGAGACUCGCGCCGUCCGGCGAGACCAUGGCGCUGAUCCUGAUGCAGGUGUUCUUCGCGGUGGUGGGCGCCAACGGCAGCGUGGUGGACGCGGUGACCAAGGCGCCCGCCGUGUUCGCGUUCGCCGCCGUGCAGGUGGCCGUGCACCUCGCCGUGGUGCUCGGGGCCGGGAGGCUGGCCGGGCUGGACAGGAAGCAGCUGCUCGUCGCGUCCAACGCCAACGUCGGCGGGCCGACCACGGCCGCCGCCAUGGCCACGGCGAAGGGGUGGAGCUCGCUCGUCGUGCCCGGCAUCCUCGUCGGCAUCUUCGGGAUCUCCAUCGCCACGUUCCUCGGCAUCGGCUUCGGCAUGUUCGUGCUCCGGAGGAUGUCCGGCUUCUAG
Molecule: ribosomal RNA, 1338 nt
Filed under: Triticum aestivum (bread wheat)
Lineage: Eukaryota; Viridiplantae; Streptophyta; Magnoliopsida; Poales; Poaceae
Description: partial small subunit ribosomal RNA
Source: RNAcentral